GGCUCCGUAGCGUAAUGGCUAACGCAUUGCUUUCCGGCUAAAUCCCGAGAUUGGCAAAGAUUGUGGGUUCGAGUCCCGUCGGGGUCG
Molecule: transfer RNA, 87 nt
Filed under: Morchella conica CCBAS932
Lineage: Eukaryota; Fungi; Ascomycota; Pezizomycetes; Pezizales; Morchellaceae
Rfam family: tRNA
About the family: Transfer RNA (tRNA) molecules are approximately 80 nucleotides in length.
Source: Rfam by way of RNAcentral